This is a long non-coding RNA of Numida meleagris (helmeted guineafowl), 1697 nucleotides long. NCBI's taxonomy places the organism in Eukaryota, Metazoa, Chordata, Aves, Galliformes, Numididae. The record is from Ensembl.
AAAAAGCCUCUUUUUCAAUUUUCUUUUUCAGUCCACAUUUGAGCUUACUUUGAAGAAGACAUGACUUCUUACAGUUUCUUUUUGCAGCUGUGGGAAAGAGCACUGAAAGUCGGCUCUGAACUUUUUCUGAAAGCAGGCAGAAUUCUGCUCAUUCUCAUGUACUAUGGGAAAAAAGAAGUUCAAAGAUGUGCAACUUGGAGCCAUAUUUCCUGUUCUUCUUUCUUUAGUUUCUCAAGAUUGUGGCUGCUGAGGCAAGCACACAUCACAAAAAACACUGCUGAGAUACCUUUGGCUGUUUCUGGGGAGCAUCAUGUGAGCUAAUAAACUGGCCUUCCAGUUUGUCUGAAAUCAGUAAAAUGAAUGAUGUGUUAAGAAAAUAUGUUCUUGGUGACUGCUGUAGAGAGGUAGCUGUAUUCUGGUGGGUGUGAAGCUUACCUUACUGCUGAGGUGUUUGUGUUUAAGGUAGUCCAAAGGAAUGAUACAGAGAAGGAAGUUGCAAGGUCAGGGGAUUUGAUCAGAACAUCCAAUCGAUCUGCAUUCUGCUUCGAUAUGACUACAGUAUACCUCUGUUUCACAAGGCUAAGCCUACAGCCUUAUGCCACCCAGAAGCUUUGUCCCAGUUGUCAGACCUAUCCUCAGAUCAUCAUCCUACCAAGUGACCUCUUUUGUGGAUGGAAGUAAGUGGACUAGAGAGCCUCUGAUGAAAGCAACAGCUGAGGAAGUGCUAUACUAAGAAAUCAGUUCUGCCUCUGUGGUGGUGAUAGUCUCUGUGAAGUUUGCUCAGUGCCAACAGUGAAUUAACACAGACCUAAUGAAUAAUUAAAGGACCUGAAUUCAUAACUGUUGUGAAUGCUUCACUGCUUAAAGCACUUUUUCAUUAAGGUUGAUUUUUACUCAAGAUCUCCACCUUAUCCUCUGAAUCCCUGAGAAUGAUGUGUUUGAUUAUGUCUCUCUGUACUAGUCAGAAAAUAUUCAGGCUUAGAUUUCAUCCACAACUCAACAUAAUGGUCUUCAGUAUAAACAGAGAUUAAGUUAAUUAGUUUAGAGAUCUGUUGUAGGUCUAGCCUUUCUUUAGCCCUUUUUCUUACAUCUCUUUACCUGACUUGUUCUCUUCCUGUUUAUUGUACCCUUGCAAGAAAGAGCACAACUCUUUGUGUUUAUUGUCCCUAUCAGUUUAAAUUACAGAUUUGACCUGACAUUAAACUGUUCCUUUUUUUUUGUACUGGAGGGAAAAAAAAUCUGAAACACCAUGUCAUAUGAUGAUAUCCUUCACUUUCGUUGAACCAUCUGGAGUUCUGGAGACAGAGCUGCAAACUGUCAACAUCUCCUGAUGGAAAGCAAAUAGAGUUGGCAAAAAGGGAAGUUUAAGCUGGAGAAUCAUCCUGUAUAAAGUUUAGAGCAGUUCAAUGCUGGAGGAAGGAAAUCAUUAUCUGUCAAAGAACUUCAUCCUGCCCCAAAGCCAUAGCACUAGGACAUUGCUAAUGCUGUUCCCUUGAAGAUUAUGCUCACAUGCUAGAUUUCAGUGGAAAACAGAGUUUGCGUUUAAUAUUUGGAAAGCUUUUGUUCCAAACAAGAGAAAGAGGUCUAAUCUUCCAUAUCUAAACUCCCUUAAUUGAAGGAAAUGAGGAGGACUAGCUGCUGCAUCUAUCACUCCCUUCACUAAUAAAACUGAUACACAUUUGACUUUAUAUUAUGCA